This 28-nucleotide non-coding RNA is filed under the name Bombyx mori (domestic silkworm). The record is from RNAcentral. Lineage: Eukaryota; Metazoa; Arthropoda; Insecta; Lepidoptera; Bombycidae.
UUAUAAGUGAUGCAGUAGCCACCAAAGU